GAACUCAGCUCUAGACGUCAAACUGUACGCGGUAUGAUUAGAACAAGCAUAAAAGCAAAACAAAAUUUGAAGAGUUAGGAACCAAAGAGACAUAUAAGUAUGGGAUUAAUCAAUUGAAGUAUUACCCAUACCAUUUAAAACCCUAAAGUUUGAACCAUAAAUAAUUUAAAAAUGUCAAAGUGAACUAUCCCUCCACUCAACUUUUUUUUUUUCAAAAAAAUUGAUUUAUGGUUUUAGUGCCCUAUACACUAAGUAGUUUUAAUUUGACGUAUAAGUUGCAUCAAUACAAUUACCAAGAUUCAAUGUGGAACAGAAAAUUCACUCAAUUUGAUUUCAUUCUAAUAAGUUCAGUAUUGUCAGAUUCUUGGAGAAAUUUGCCAUUUUUUGAUUGCUGACCCAGUAGGAAGUUCUUAAGCCCUUUUCAAUAUAAAACUAAAAUUAACAAUGAAGUUGUAAUGGUUAAGAACUCCUCAUCAAUGGACAGAGCUAAAUUUUCAACAAUUAAUAAAAACCCUCUCUACAAUGAGUAACAACCCCGCUCUAUGAGCUGAAAGCUACUCUCCAUAGGCAAAGCCUAAAUAACCUCUCAACAAUACUCCUAUAAAUGGCAACAUCGAGAUCAUCAAUAGUAAAAUUAGAGUUAAACUCAGAAACAUAAUUAGAAUCAUCAGGAAUUAAAGAAGACUCGCUACAUUCUUCAGGAACUAAUUCUAGGGAUGUUGGUUAAUCAAUUGAAUCAAACCCAAUGAUUGUAUCUGUCUUAUUCUUAUGCAUAUAGGUUCUCAAAUCCAAUCUACCCAAUCUCCCUGCGGUUUGAGGAGGUGAGCAACCAGGUUCUAUUUACAUGGCUUAUUAAUAAGGUGUGACCCAAACCUAAUAGUCUCCCUUGAAGCCUAAUAGCCCGGUUAUGAAUCCUUAUGCUCCCCCUAAUAGCUUGUUUGGGAGAAUUUUUGGAGGUAAGGAAUUGGUUUUUAAAGUAUUAUAUUUGUUUGGGAGGAAGAUUUUUUAAAGUAGUUAAGGUUUUUGGAGGUUUCACUAAAACUCUCACUUUUUCAACCUACCAAAUUAGUGGGUUGGGAAGGUUUCGCUACCUUACCUCCCAUUAUCUUACCUUAUCUUACUCUAUAAAAUCUUCUCUCACUCCAUCCAAACAUACUAUAAAGAGGUCACUUUACAGGCAAAUAAGACUCAGAUUCUCUAAAAGUAACAUCCAUACUGACAAAUUAUUUUCUAGUAGGAGGAUGAUAAUAUUUAUAGUCCUUUUGAGUACCAGAUAUCCUACAAAUACACAUUUAAGAGCUCUAAGUUCUAACUUCUCAAAUUUUGUUUUGCAGACUAAACAGCAUCCAAAAAUCUUUGAAAGGACAGUAUAAGAAUUAUAAUAUAGUAAAACCUCUAAAGGAUUUUUAAAGUUUACUGUUUUUAAAGGCAUUCUACUACAUCCCCCCAAUAAGGUGUAAGAAGAUUAACAGUAAACAUAAAAGAUAGAGCCACCUCCAAUAAAUGUCUUUUUUUUUUUUCUUUCAAAUACUCCAUUUUGUUCAUUAGUAUUGACACAAAUAGUUUGACGCACUAUACCAUUUGAAUCUAAAAAAGCACGAAAAACAACAUUAACAUGUUUUGUGCCAUUAUCAUUUCUUAAAAUUUUAACUUUAGCAUCAAACUGUAUGCAAAUCAUUUUGUGAAAC
Molecule: unclassified non-coding RNA, 1688 nt
Filed under: Hevea brasiliensis (rubber tree)
Lineage: Eukaryota; Viridiplantae; Streptophyta; Magnoliopsida; Malpighiales; Euphorbiaceae
Source: RNAcentral